CAGCAGCCGCGGGAACACGAAGGGUGCAAGCGUUAAUCGGAAUUACUGGGCGUAAAGCGUGCGCAGGCGGUUGUGUAAGACAGGUGUGAAAUCCCCGGGCUUAACCUGGGAACUGCGCUUGUGACUGGCGGGCUAGAGUAUGGCAGAGGGGGGUAGAAUUCCACGUGUAGCAGUGAAAUGCGUAGAGAUCGGAAGGAACAUCUGUGGCGAAGGCGACUAUCUGGGCCAACACUGACACUGAGACACGAAAGCGUGGGGAGCAAACAGGAUUAGAUACCCCCGUAGUCCCUGUCUCUUAUAC
Molecule: ribosomal RNA, 301 nt
Filed under: uncultured bacterium
Lineage: Bacteria
Description: partial 16S ribosomal RNA
Rfam family: Bacterial small subunit ribosomal RNA
Source: RNAcentral